Molecule: long non-coding RNA, 2162 nt
Filed under: Homo sapiens (human)
Lineage: Eukaryota; Metazoa; Chordata; Mammalia; Primates; Hominidae
Description: HSALNT0193044
Source: RNAcentral
CAGCUUUAGAUGCUAACAUUGAAGAUGCACAACCAUGAGGAUGUAGGAGACUGGAUCCCUGAAUCACUGCUUGGAUGAUAGCAGCAAGCUUCUUUGGCGUUAAACAACUUAGAUAUUCUGAUAAAGCAUCUACUGUUGCCUUAAUUAAGGAGAGAUGGAUAAUAUUUUCUUGGAUGAAAGUGAUAGAGGUGAGGAUGAAGAGAAGUGGUCAGAUUCUACAUACAAUUAUCAGAGAAACAGGAGUUCCUGAGAAUAUGGAUAUGAUGAGAAGAAAGGAAGUCUUGCCAUGUUGUCCAGAUUGGUCCCAAACUCCUGGGCUCAAGCGAUCAGCCACCUCGGCCUCCCAAAGUAUUGGGAUUACAGGCAUGAGCCACUGCCCGCAGCCAGGUUUUUGUGACUCAGGGGAAGGAUGAUGUCAAGCUGUUGUCAAGCCAAUUGCAUGGAAAGAGAAGAAUUAACGUGUUCUCCCUUCAAAAUGAUGGAUUCCAUGGCUCCACAUUCAUCAUCUGGCUCAUGAUUACCAACUCUUUGCAGUCCAUUGCAGGGUGACCUCGUUAGCACUAUCUGUGCACUUUCUGUGAUAGCGGGCUGCCUGGAGGCCCUGCAUGUGUGGUUCGGGUUAAUGAGGGUCUGAGUCAUCAAGUUAGAAACUCACCUUUCCAGCCAUCAGAUCCAGAAAUGCUAGAAAAAGGCACAGGGCUCAUAAUCAGACAUGCCAUGUUGACGAAAGAGUAAUGUCUCAUCCUGGUGAGAUCGUCCACAGGACCUGUGCUGAAUAAUUGUCAGGCAGCCAUGAGACCACAGUAAGCUCCCAUACUAUCUAGAGGUCAAUUUAUCAUCCAAGAUGGCCUGCUUUGCAGAUUGCUGCAUGCAUACCCUCUGCAGCACCAGGUAGCAGGCAGCAGGAGAGGUAGCCCCACAAUAACACAGCAUGUGUCCCUAGAGCAUCUUCUUAUUGAAAUGGGAGAUUUAAAACCUUUUAAAGAAAACUAAUGGUCCUGUUUGCUGUCUAAGGAUAAAGACGAGUACAUUUUAAUGGUGAAAUAAAGAAACUUCAAAUAAAUUUUUCACUUGAAGCUGGCCUUCUGAGUCCCUCUCUCAAACCUGCCCCCAUCUCACAGUUUCCCACUCCCCUGCUGCUCAGGAUACUUCAGUGGGAAAGUUUAAACAAAACACACUAAGACAGUGUUUUCCAAACAGUGGGUCAUGACCCAUUAGUGGACUGUGAAAAUAAAUUUAGUAGAUCACAACCAACAUUAAAAAAUAAAAAAAAGAAAUAGGAGCUGGGUGCAGUGGUGUGUGCCUGUAGUCUCAGGUACUUGGGAGGCUGAGUGGGGAGGAUUGCUUGAGUCUAGAAGUUCGAGGCUGCAAUGAUCUAUGAUGGUGCUUGUGAAUAGCCACGGAGUCUAGCCUGGGCAACAUAGCAAGACCCUGUAUCUAAAAAAAAAAUAAAAAUAAGAAAAGAAAUAAAAUAGAACAUCUGGAUUGCAAUGAAAUGCAUUCUUUAUUGGAUAUAGUGAUAAAAACUCUUUCAAAGCUGUUGCCCUAAGUGAUAAAUUUUGGUAACUUCUUCCUAUAUAAAAUAAUUAUUUAAAAAAUCCUGAAAAUGAAUAAAACAAAUGUUUUAUGAUGAUUGAUACUAGCCAUAUCUGGUGAUUAACAGGAGUAAUAAGGAAUAACAUGCUCACUCCAACGCUCAUAAGCCUUAUCACCUAGAUAUUUUUUCUUGAAGCAAUCUCCACAUUCUCCAUAGUGGAGACUAUAACUGAUUCAGGGUAUGGUGGAGCAUGUGUGUGUGUGUGUGUGUGUGUGUGUGUGUGUGUAUGUUUGCAUGUGAGUAUGUAAUCUGGCUCCUGUGGAAAGAAAACACAUUGCUGGAAGAUGAAAUCACUGGACAUAAUUCUUUAUUUCAAGCCUUUUCAGUUACACAGCUUCUUUUAAAAGUUUGACAUGCAAAAUUGUUAAAUAUCAAAAUGCAAAUCAUGUAAUUUCUCUUCCAGAUGUCCUGCUUAGCUGCAUAUUUUUUCAGCCUGUGUAUGUAACCCCAAUGCUCAGUAACAUAGCUUUCUGUUCAAAUCAUCUGUUUCUAUGACCUUUGCCUUUAUUGAUUCGUUUUCUUUUUUCCUAUUUUUAAUGUUGCCUUUGAGAUUAAAGUCAUUUUU